Molecule: long non-coding RNA, 580 nt
Organism: Lingula anatina
Lineage: Eukaryota; Metazoa; Brachiopoda; Lingulata; Lingulida; Lingulidae
Source: RefSeq, a predicted model, not a curated record
AUACUUAAGCGGGCCUUUUUCUCGAGUUGAUUGAUUUUCCUAAUGUGAUUAAGGCGGAAAGGGUGCCACUUGUCUGAGUGCGUGUUACAAAGGUUAAUUUGAUUUUCCUUGGUCUCUCACUGCCUGAUUUCCUUUACUGUAUUAAUACCGCAGCAGAAGACAGGUGAAACGCGCAUCGGAGCUGCACGCGAACCAAAGACUGUAAAAAGAAGAGAACAAAACGAUGAAGGCUGUGGCAAUCUUUUUACUUGUGCUCGUGAGCGAAGUGUACUGUAGAAAUCUUAUUGACCUAUGGAAGCAGGCUGCUUGCACUGGGGAUUUGAAGUGGGGUACCUGUUAUUCCGCUUGCCCGCGCGUCUGCGGGGAGCCGGACCCAUGGGUUUGCACCCUGCAGUGUGUCAUAGGUUGUCGCUGCCCUGAAAACAAAAUUUGGGUCUCUCGGGACGGCAACAAGUGCGUGAACAGCAGAGAGGAAUGCCUCAGUCCAAAGAGUAGUCGAUUUUUACCAUUGCUUGAAAUAGCAUACGUUUAUGUACAUGGUUAUGAAAAAUGGAAAUAAAAACCAUGCUGUGAUUAUUAA